RNAcentral lists this ribosomal RNA (402 nucleotides) under bacterium. RNAcentral describes it as "partial 16S ribosomal RNA". It matches the Rfam family "Bacterial small subunit ribosomal RNA", at positions 355 to 776 of the family's 1533-position model. The record is from RNAcentral.
UGGGGAAUUUUGCACAAUGGGGGAAACCCUGAUGCAGCGACGCCGCGUGAUUUAGAAGGCCUUCGGGUUGUAAAAAUCUUUUCUAUGGGAAGAAAAUGACAGUACCAUAGGAAUAAGGACCGGCUAAUUACGUGCCAGCAGCCGCGGUAAUACGUAAGGUCCGAGCGUUGUCCGGAAUCAUUGGGCGUAAAGGGUACGUAGGCGGGUAAGCAAGUUAGAAGUGAAAUCCUAUAGCUCAACUAUAGUAAGCUUUUAAAACUGCUCAUCUUGAUGUAUGGAAGGGAAAGUGGAAUUCAUAGUGUAGCGGUGAAAUGCGCAGAUAUUAGGAGGAAUACCGGUGGCGAAGGCGACUUUCUGGCCAGAACCUGACGCUGAGGUACGAAAGCGUGGGUAGCAAACAGG